UACGUAGGGAGCAAGCGUUGUCCGGAAUCACUGGGCGUAAAGCGCGCGUAGGCGGCCAUGUAAGUCCGUUGUGAAAGUCAAAGGCUCAACCUUUGAAAGCCGAUGGAUACUGCAGGGCUAGAGUCCGGAAGAGGCGAGUGGAAUUCCUGGUGUAGCGGUGGAAUGCGCAGAUAUCAGGAGGAACACCAAUAGCGAAGGCAGCUCGCUGGGACGGUACUGACGCUAAGGCGCGAAAGCGUGGGGAGCGAACAGG
This 253-nucleotide ribosomal RNA is filed under the name uncultured bacterium. RNAcentral's name for it is "partial 16S ribosomal RNA". It matches the Rfam family "Bacterial small subunit ribosomal RNA", at positions 524 to 776 of the family's 1533-position model. The record is from RNAcentral.